AACCUCCGCAAUGUGAGAAAUCGCGACGGGGGGAUCCCAAGUGCCAUUCUUAACGGGAUGGCUUUUCUUAAGUGUAAAAAGCUUUUGGAAUAAGAGCUGGGCAAGACCGGUGCCAGCCGCCGCGGUAACACCGGCAGCUCUAGUGGUAGCUGUUUUUAUUGGGCCUAAAGCGUUCGUAGCCGGUUUGAUAAGUCACUGGUGAAAUCCUGUAGCUUAACUGUGGGAAUUGCUGGUGAUACUGUUGAACUUGAGGUCGGGAGAGGUUAGCGGUACUCCCAGGGUAGAGGUGAAAUUCUGUAAUCCUGGGAGGACCGCCUGUUGCGAAGGCGUCUAACUGGAACGAUUCUGACGGUGAGGGACGAAAGUUAGGGGCGCGAACCGGAUUAGAUACCCGGGUAGUCCUAACCGUAAACGAUGCGGACUUGGUGUUGGGGUGGCUUUGAGCUGCUCCAGUGCCGAAGGGAAGCUGUUAAGUCCGCCGCCUGGGAAGUACGGUCGCAAGACUGAAACUUAAAGGAAUU
Molecule: ribosomal RNA, 521 nt
Filed under: uncultured bacterium
Lineage: Bacteria
Description: bacterial SSU rRNA
Rfam family: Archaeal small subunit ribosomal RNA
Source: RNAcentral